GGCUCAGUAACAGGUAGGUUAACCUACCCUCAGGRSUGAAGAUAACCCCGGGAAACUGGGGCUUAAUAUUAGAUAGAUAAAAAGAUAYUGGAAUGUUCUUUUAUCCMAAAGYUUUUGCGCCUGAGGAUGGGGCCUGCGUCCGAUUAGGUYGUUGGUGGGGUAAUGGCCCACCAAGCCUGCGAUCGGUACGGGCAGUGGAAGCUGAAGCCCGGAGUUGGGGACUGAGACAAGGCCCCAGGCCYUACGGGGCGCAGCAGGCGCGAAACCUCUGCAAUGCGGGAAACCGUGACAGGGGGAUCCCAAGUGCUCAUGCAUUGCAUGGGMUGUUCUUUGGUCUAAGUAACCAGAGGAGUAAGGGCUGGGCAAGACCGGUGCCAGCCGCCGCGGUAAUACCGGCAGCUCAAGUGGUAGCCGCGAUUAUUGGGCCUAAAACGUUCGUAGCCGGAUAAGUAAGUCUUUGGUUAAAUCCUGCGACUCAACCGUGGGAAUUCUAGAGAUACUGCUCGUCUUGAGACCGGGAGAGGUUGGAGGUACUCCUAGGGUAGGGGUGAAAUCCUGUAAUCCUAGGGGGACCACCUGYGGCGAAGGCGUCCAACUGGAACGGGUCUGACGGUGAGGGACGAAACCUAGGGGAGCGACCCAGUUUAGAUACCCGGGUAGUCYUAG
Molecule: ribosomal RNA, 666 nt
Filed under: uncultured euryarchaeote
Lineage: Archaea; Methanobacteriati; Methanobacteriota
Description: bacterial SSU rRNA
Rfam family: Archaeal small subunit ribosomal RNA
Source: RNAcentral